AUUGAACGCCGGCGGCAUGCUUUACACAUGCAAGUCGAACGGUAACAGGCCUUCGGGUGCUGACGAGUGGCGAACGGGUGAGUAAUGCAUCGGAACGUGCCCAGAGGUGGGGGAUAACGCAGCGAAAGCUGUGCUAAUACCGCAUGUGAUCUGAGGAUGAAAGCGGGGGACCAGGCAGCAAUGUUUGGCCUCGCGCCUUUGGAGCGGCCGAUGUCAGAUUAGGUAGUUGGUGGGGUAAAGGCCUACCAAGCCGACGAUCUGUAGCUGGUCUGAGAGGACGACCAGCCACACUGGGACUGAGACACGGCCCAGACUCCUACGGGAGGCAGCAGUGGGGAAUUUUGGACAAUGGGCGCAAGCCUGAUCCAGCAAUGCCGCGUGCGGGAAGAAGGCCUUCGGGUUGUAAACCGCUUUUGUACGGAACGAAAAGGCUCUGGCUAAUACCUGGGGCUGAUGACGGUACCGUAAGAAUAAGCACCGGCUAACUACGUG
This 492-nucleotide ribosomal RNA is filed under the name uncultured bacterium. RNAcentral's name for it is "partial 16S ribosomal RNA". It matches the Rfam family "Bacterial small subunit ribosomal RNA", at positions 30 to 507 of the family's 1533-position model. The record is from RNAcentral.